ACCAGAUUAAGAGUUCGGCGUGAUUAUCAGAGCCUGAGUUAGAAACCGAGUCGGAGACUGGCAUGGGUUUCAAUUCAACUUGGAAACGGAGAUGUCCUCUUAUACUCCGCAUAAAAGGGGGGUCUCUGUUGUCUGGUUCAGCAUCUGUUCUCCUAAGCGAAGGAUCUGAGGCUUCUCACCUAUGUAGAGAAAGAAAUUGGAUUCGAAGCUUGUUCCAGCUGUUGGGCGAUUUUAAUUCGCAUGCAAGAGCAAAAGCUGGGGUGACUCUUCAAUCUGCAGCGUGAAAUAGCUGCUCAAUUCACUGGACACACUGCCACUUUUGCUUUGGUUAAUAACACCGCUCCACCACCGCUUCACAAAGCAUUCAUUAACUGUUUCUUUCUCUUUAUUUGUGAACAUCGAUUUAGCCAAUUCAUUUCAAAGCUUUUGUGCUUCUAUAUGCAGGCGUCGUUGUGUCUCUAUCACCAAGCCCAGCUAUCAAUUUUUACAGAGGUUACAGAAACGAAUUCAUUAAGGGUGAGGCUUUGUAUUACUUUGCUUGGCAUUUUGGUGGUGGUAUUUGGGUUUUGUAUUUCUUUUUGGCAGUGGUGGUGGAAAGGUUUUGCUACGGUGGAAGAGAAAAGCAAGGCAUGAAGCUUUUUAUGUAUUGCUGAGAUUGAAGGAAGAAAAUGUGGCGUCUUGUGCAGAGUUUUAGAAACAGAACUUGGCCAUUCAUGAAUGACCCUAUGUUCCAGCAUUAGAAACUGCAGCAGCCAAGCACGUUGAGACUUCGGCCGUUCAUGAACGACCAUAUCAGUCUAAACGCAAGAGAAGUUCUCUCGGCCA
Molecule: RNA transcript, 825 nt
Organism: Rosa chinensis
Lineage: Eukaryota; Viridiplantae; Streptophyta; Magnoliopsida; Rosales; Rosaceae
Exons: 4
Source: RefSeq, a predicted model, not a curated record